CUCUGAAAAUGGAUUGGCGACUUGUAGACAUGCACACCUGAUGACCCAACCGCUNUGGGGCAGAACAGUGCAAAUUGUGAGUGUUGCAGUAUGCCAGUGGCCUACAGUGCCCCAGCGAGUUAGGAAGGGGGCGACAGCGGUGUUGCGACAGAAGGGGAUUGGGCGUGAGCCUGCCUGGAGCCGCCGUUGGUGCAGAUCUUGGUGGUAGUAGCAAAUACUCGAGCGAUAUCCUGGAGAUCUGAUGUGAUGUGGAGAAGGGUUCCAUGUGAACAGCCUUUGCACAUGGGUCAGUCUGUCCUAAGCUGCAGGAGAAAUCCGGGUUCUGGCGAAAUUAGCGCUCCCGAAAACCAAUAAAUACAUUGAAUAAAUGGGUGUCGCUACCAAACCUAAGCGAGAGGGAAUCCGGUACUGAUUCCGGAACCUGGUCGCGGAUAACCUCUCUUCGGAGAGGGUUGUUGGGGUCCUCGUGAUCUACACCGUAAGGUAGCUAAACUCGGGGAAGUCGUCCGCUGUCCCGGGCAGAGUUUUCUGUUCUGUGUAUAAGGGCCCGGAUCCCUGGAAUCGCCUCGCGCGGAGAGAGGGAACUGGUUUUAUUUUAGCCCGAAGAGCCCCGCAGUUCUUGCGGGGUCCGAUUGGAUGGCGGUCGAACCAUGAAAACUCGAGGGAGGGCGUACAACUUUCGUGCCAGCCUGUACCGCAUAUCCGCAGCAGGUCUCCGAGGUGAACAGCCUCUAGUCGCAAUAGAUUCAUGUAGGUAAGU
RNAcentral lists this ribosomal RNA (760 nucleotides) under Cylindroleberididae sp. DS_7. RNAcentral's name for it is "eukaryotic LSU rRNA". It matches the Rfam family "Eukaryotic large subunit ribosomal RNA", at positions 1310 to 1909 of the family's 3401-position model. Lineage: Eukaryota; Metazoa; Arthropoda; Ostracoda; Myodocopida; Cylindroleberididae. The record is from RNAcentral.